GUGCAAUUCUUUUGGAUUUAGUGCCUGGCAACAGUUUUGGAGAGAGCCUGAAAUCUGGCUUGGCUGGAAUUUGUAGAUUGCAAGCACAAUCUGAAAAAGGGAUAGUCCCAUGUUCUCCAUCGCAAAAAGAUGGCCACGUGACCCUGCCCCUACCACGCCUGGACGCUGAGAGCUGCCAAAGGAGUCGCCAGGAAAAGGAUUCACCUUCAUUUCUUUCGGAUCUAACUUGUCCUGAAACAUCCAGCGACAAGAACCAUUUCUGCUGUUUCAGUAGCAGGAGAUGCGCAGCACUCUGGCCGGCCUGUUUCCUAAAGCUUUGAUCUACUUUGUCUCACUGACUGAAGCACACAACGCCAAACCCACUCAGUGCGCGGCUCCUGCGGCUCCAAAGAAUUCACUUUUGAAACACAACACAGCUGUAUCAAUUUUCGUGGAAACUUGUCUUUGGAGAUGUGUUUUGGGGGUGCAGCAAUGAGAAAUUUUCCUGCCUCAACUGAGUUCUGCCUGCUGGGUCCCAGGAUUCUCUUCAUCUGUGUUCUCCGCCACUGGCUCCUAGAAGCACUUGUCAAAAGUUUUACUCAGUAAAACUAAAGCAAUGUUGUGGUGCUUCCUUCGGGUGAACAGCCUGAUUACGCUUUGGGACUGUGCCAUACCCAGCAUAGCUCAAGGUCAUUCCAGAGUCAGCUUGGGAUUUUGAUAAUUUUAGUCACUUUCUACAGUGCCUUGAGGUCAGUUGAUAUCUAAAACCCAAAAUGAAGGCUGGGUGUGGUAGUCACAAUAGGAGAGCAGGAACGUCCUGAGUUUGAGCCCAUCCUGGCAACAUGGUGAGGGCCUGUCUCAACAAACAAAAAAAUGACAACAACAGAGAGCUGACUUUGCCGGCUCAGGGCGUAUUCUCAAACAGAGGAAAUAAGUAACAACAACGUCAGCGCUACAGGCACAGCUGUUCUCAGGGGUCGUCACCAAAGCCAAAACAGUUGUGAUGCUCCGUGCACAGCUGGAGGCAACGUUCAGGCGUGGCGUCUACUUUGGUCUGGGAGGAACACAGUGGGACCUGAAGCAGGAAUGGUAAGCCAGCUCACUUACCAGUGAUGCCGAAGAUACCCGCCACCCAGGUUUCCAAGCCAGUAUGAUCAAGGCAUCGGGAUUAUGGAGUACAAGUCCCUGGAAUCUACAAAUAAGAGACUUCCUAUAUCACUUUCUUCAAAAGAUGCCUGGAGCACGACAGACUUCCAGGGCCAGCACUCAAGCAGCCUUUGGAAAAACUCCUGACUCCCUAAGCCAUCUGGGUAAUGAAUAGUUGGAUAAAUGGGGUUACUAGUAUCCUGUGCCUGGAUUACAGUUGCUUUCCUCUGUUACUAAGGAGAUCCAGGGAGUAAAACCAUGCACAGCCUUUGGGGCAAUAGAGGACUUUUGUUCUCCUAUUGAAAGCUUAUGGGAUUGGUGGCUGAUGAAUCACCCUGUUCAGAUCCACAGACAAAAGCACUUCUGAUUGGCUGUCACUGGGUCAGGUUCCCACCCUUGCUUAUCUCAUCCACACCCUUGUAGGCUAACAAGGAGACUGGGUGUAGGGCCUUGUUGUCCUAGCCUGAGAUAGUGUGGCUCAGAUGCAGCUUUUGCCCUGUGCCUCUCCAGGUCUGUAUUUUCUUUUUUACAGAUAUUGGCUGAGAAAAGAAAUAGAAACAAAAUUUUCAGGGAUCUGAAGGGAGAUGGCAAACAAGGACAGAUAUUUUACGGAGAUGGGACCAGGGUGAUCCUAGGAAGCUUACAUGUUCCCUGAAGAACUUGAAAAAAAAAAAUGGGGAAGGGGAGCUACUUCAGUUGAAGAGGAUAUUGCAACGUGACUUUUACUUCGUGAGUCUUCAAUAUGCUUUGAUACAUCUAAAAACAGAAUUAUGCUAAGAUAAAAGCUUAAGAAAUGGCUAGGAGCAGAGCACUCCCAGAACUCCAAGGCAGAGUCUGGAAGAUCUCUGUGAGUUCAAAGCCAGCCUGGAUGGUCUACAGAGCUAGUUCUAGGACAGUCAAGUCUGUGUACAAAGAAACCCAGUCUUGAAAAAACAAACAAGCAAGCAAGCAAGCAAGCAGACAAAAGAAAUGACAAGGAAAAAUCAUUACCAAUUUCCACAUUUGUUAAAAGAAAAUCUCCACAGGUAGCAUAUUUGAGAAAAUGUGCCCUCUCUUUUCUUCUAGGAACGGAGGAAUUUGAGAUUCAGCAGGCUGAAGGAUGGAUUUAAUGGAAUUUAGCAAACUUAUAGCAGGACCACAAUUAGAACCCAGAUCUUCUAAUUUCUGGUUGUAUCAGCAAAGAUGUCUGAGACAUAGUUCAAAUCCUGGAUGUAGUAGUUAUUUAUCAGUCACUUCAGACUUUGUGAUCUAACCGUGGGCAGUAAAUAAUCCAACCUUUCACUGUCCCCUGGAGUGACAGUAAGCGUAAGCAUAAUGUAUCUCAAUGUAGUUUUGCCAACACUUACAGAAAUAUGAGGUUAUCUUGCAUCAAUUCAUUCAACUCAUAGUAUGUGAUGCCAUCUGUUUGAGAAACAGACACAACUUUGUGAAUAAAAUAAUUGCAACAAAGUUUUGUUUUGUCAUUUCUUCUUACCCCUUAGUAGAAGCUACAGGCCUUUAAAAUAUUGUGCAGUAAAUACAUGUUGAUUUGGGGAAGAACAAUGUUCAUUUCAACUGGGUGAAUGGCAACAGAGCUUGCUUUAAGAUAGUCUUGCUGUCCAGAUAACGUGACAAUUAAGGAUAAUUCAAAAUUAAUGUUCCUUAUUCACUUCUUUUUCAUACUAUGGAUACUUAAAAAAUAUCCAAAAGGUAAAUAUUUUCUUGUUUGCCAGGAAAUAUUUUCAAUGAGUAGGUUAUAACACU
Meriones unguiculatus (Mongolian gerbil) is the source of this 2868-nucleotide long non-coding RNA. RefSeq lists it as uncharacterized. The transcript has 4 exons. Lineage: Eukaryota; Metazoa; Chordata; Mammalia; Rodentia; Muridae. The record is from RefSeq and is a predicted model, not a curated record.